UGGGGAAUAUUGCACAAUGGAGGGAACUCUGAUGCAGCGACGCCGCGUGAGUGAUGAAGGAAUUCGUUUCGUAAAACUCUGUUCUAUGGGAAGAAAAGGACUGUACCAUAGGAGAAAGCUCCGGCUAAAUACGUGCCAGCAGCCGCGGUAAUACGUAUGGAGCGAGCGUUGUCCGGAAUUAUUGGGCGUAAAGGGUGCGCAGGCGGCUUUACAAGUUGGAUGUGAAAUAUUGUGGCUCAACCACAAACGUGCAUCCAAAACUGCAAAGCUUGAGUUAAGGAGAGGUAAGUGGAAUUCCUGGUGUAGCGGUGGAAUGCGUAGAUAUCAGGAGGAAUACCGGUGGCGAAGGCGACUUACUGGACUUAAACUGACGCUCAGGCACGAAAGCGCGGGGAGCAAACAGG
RNAcentral lists this ribosomal RNA (404 nucleotides) under Fusobacteriota bacterium. Its description in RNAcentral is "Fusobacteria bacterium partial 16S ribosomal RNA". It matches the Rfam family "Bacterial small subunit ribosomal RNA", at positions 355 to 776 of the family's 1533-position model. The record is from RNAcentral. Lineage: Bacteria; Fusobacteriati; Fusobacteriota.